GAUGAACGCUAGCGACAGGCUUAACACAUGCAAGUCGAGGGGCAGCGGGGUAGUGCUUGCACUACUGCCGGCGACCGGCGCACGGGUGAGUAACACGUAUGGAACCUGCCCGCAGCAGGGGGAUAAGCGGAAGAAAUUCCGUCUAAUACCGCGUAACAACGUUGGGAGGCAUCUCCCGAUGUUUAAAGAUUUAUCGGCUGCGGAUGGCCAUGCGGCGCAUUAGCUAGUCGGCGGGGUAACGGCCCACCGAGGCGACGAUGCGUAGGGGUUCUGAGAGGAAGGUCCCCCACACUGGUACUGAGACACGGACCAGACUCCUACGGGAGGCAGCAGUGAGGAAUAUUGGUCAAUGGCCGAGAGGCUGAACCAGCCAAGUCGCGUGAGGGAAGACGGCCCUACGGGUUGUAAACCUCUUUUGUCGGGGAGCAAAGCGAACCACGUGUGGUUCAUUGAGAGUACCCGAAGAAAAAGCAUCGGCUAACUCCGUGCCAGCAGCCGCGGUAAUACGGAGGAUGCGAGCGUUAUCCGGAUUUAUUGGGUUUAAAGGGUGCGCAGGCGGAGGUGCAAGUCAGCGGUCAAAUUGCGGGGCUCAACCCCGUACUGCCGUUGAAACUGCAUCCCUUGAGUGCGCGAGAAGUAUGCGGAAUGCGUGGUGUAGCGGUGAAAUGCAUAGAUAUCACGCAGAACUCCGAUUGCGAAGGCAGCAUACCGGCGCGCAACUGACGCUCAUGCACGAAAGCGUGGGUAUCGAACAGGAUUAGAUACCCUGGUAGUCCACGCAGUAAACGAUGAACACUAACUGUUCGGCCAGAAUGAUGGCUGAGUGGUACAGCGAAAGCGUUAAGUGUUUCCACCUGGGGAGUACGCCGGCAACGGUGAAACUCAAAGGAAUUGACGGGGGCCCGCACAAGCGGAGGAACAUGUGGUUUAAUUCGAUGAUACGCGAGGAACCUUACCCGGGCUCAAACGACACAGGAAUACUUUUGAAAGGAGGUAGCCCUACGGGGUCUGUGUCGAGGUGCUGCAUGGUUGUCGUCAGCUCGUGCCGUGAGGUGUCGGCUUAAGUGCCAUAACGAGCGCAACCCCUAUCGCCAGUUACCAUCAAGUAAAGUUGGGGACUCUGGCGAGACUGCCGGCGCAAGCUGAGAGGAAGGCGGGGAUGACGUCAAAUCAGCACGGCCCUUACGUCCGGGGCGACACACGUGUUACAAUGGCAGGUACAGAGAGAAGCCAGGUGGCGACACCGCGCGGAACUCGAAAGCCUGUCUCAGUUCGGAUCGGAGUCUGCAACCCGACUCCGUGAAGCUGGAUUCGCUAGUAAUCGCGCAUCAGCCAUGGCGCGGU
This 1344-nucleotide ribosomal RNA is filed under the name uncultured bacterium. Its description in RNAcentral is "partial 16S ribosomal RNA". It matches the Rfam family "Bacterial small subunit ribosomal RNA", at positions 28 to 1363 of the family's 1533-position model. The record is from RNAcentral.